Molecule: ribosomal RNA, 236 nt
Filed under: uncultured bacterium
Lineage: Bacteria
Description: partial 16S ribosomal RNA
Rfam family: Bacterial small subunit ribosomal RNA
Source: RNAcentral
UGUGGCCUACGGGGGGCAGCAGUAGGGAAUCUUCGGCAAUGGGCGAAAGCCUGACCGAGCAACGCCGCGUGAAUGAAGAAGGCCUUCGGGUUGUAAAAUUCUGUUUUAAGGGAAGCAAGGUGAUAGGAGGAAAUGACUAUCAAUUGACGGUACCUUAUGAGAAAGCCACGGCUAACUACGUGCCAGCAGCCGCGGUAAUACGUAGGUGGCAUGCGUUAUCCGGAUUUAUUUGGCGU